CUUCCGUAAGGGGUGACCUGCGGAAGGAUCAUUACUGAUUUGCUUAAUUGCACCACAUGUGUUUUUUAUUGAACAAAUUUCUUUGGUGGCGGGAGCAAUCCUACCGCCAGAGGUUAUAACUAAACCAAACUUUUUAUUUACAGUCAAACUUGAUUUAUUAUUACAAUAGUCAAAACUUUCAACAACGGAUCUCUUGGUUCUCGCAUCGAUGAAGAACGCAGCGAAAUGCGAUACGUAAUAUGAAUUGCAGAUAUUCGUGAAUCAUCGAAUCUUUGAACGCACAUUGCGCCCUUUGGUAUUCCAAAGGGCAUGCCUGUUUGAGCGUCAUUUCUCCCUCAAACCCCCGGGUUUGGUGUUGAGCAAUACGCUAGGUUUGUUUGAAAGAAUUUAACGUGGAAACUUAUUUUAAGCGACUUAGGUUUAUCCAAAACGCUUAUUUUGCUAGUGGCCACCACAAUUUAUUUCAUAACUUUGACCUCAAAUCAGGUAGGACUACCCGCUGAACUUAAGCAUAUCAAUAANNGGGAGGA
RNAcentral lists this ribosomal RNA (530 nucleotides) under Candida tropicalis. RNAcentral describes it as "eukaryotic LSU rRNA". The stretch from base 174 to 327 matches the Rfam family "5.8S ribosomal RNA". Lineage: Eukaryota; Fungi; Ascomycota; Pichiomycetes; Serinales; Debaryomycetaceae. The record is from RNAcentral.